UACAGAGAUGGGCAAGCGUUAUCCGGAAUUGAUUGGGCGUAAAGAGCGUGUAGGCGGCCUGAAAGGUCAGCUGUGAAAACUCGAGGCUCAACCUCGAGACGUCGGUUGAAACCAUCUGGCUAGAGUCCGGAAGAGGAGUGUGGAAUUCCCGGUGUAGCGGUGAAAUGCGCAGAUAUCGGGAAGAACACCCGUGGCGAAGGCGGCACUCUGGGACGGUACUGACGCUGAGACGCGAAAGCGUGGGGAGCGAACAGG
Molecule: ribosomal RNA, 255 nt
Filed under: uncultured bacterium
Lineage: Bacteria
Description: partial 16S ribosomal RNA
Rfam family: Bacterial small subunit ribosomal RNA
Source: RNAcentral